Molecule: ribosomal RNA, 684 nt
Filed under: uncultured Gammaproteobacteria bacterium
Lineage: Bacteria; Pseudomonadati; Pseudomonadota; Gammaproteobacteria
Description: bacterial SSU rRNA
Rfam family: Bacterial small subunit ribosomal RNA
Source: RNAcentral
AUGAAGAAUACCAGUGGCGAAGGCGGCCUCCUGGAUCUGUACUGACACUGAGGUGCGAAAGCGUGGUAGCGAACAGGAUUAGAUACCCUGGUAGUCCACGCCGUAAACGAUGACAACUAGCUGUUAGGAGACUUUGUCUUUUAGUGGCGCAGCUAACGCUUUAAGUUGUCCGCCUGGGGAGUACGGCCGCAAGGCUAAAACUCAAAUGAAUUGACGGGGACCCGCACAAGCAGUGGAUCAUGUGGUUUAAUUCGAUGCAACGCGAAAAACCUUACCUACUCUUGACAUACUUGGAAGCUCCUGUAAUGAGAGUGUGCUUUUAAGAACCAAGAUACAGGUGCUGCAUGGCUGUCGUCAGCUCGUGUCGUGAGAUGUUCCGUUAAGUCGGAUAACGAGCGCAACCCUUACCCUUAUUUGCCAGCGAUUCGGUCGGGAACUAUAAGGGGACUGCCGGUGAUAAACCGGAGGAAGGUGAGGACGACGUCAAGUCAUCAUGGCCCUUACGAGUAGGGCUACACACGUGAUACAAUGGGAGAGACAGACGGACGCUAAGCCGCGAGGUGGUGCUAAUCCUAGAAACUCUCUCGUAGUCCGGAUUGGAGUCUGCAACUCGACUCCAUGAAGUUGGAAUUGCUAGUAAUCGCGGAUCAGCAUGCCGCGGUGAAUACGUUCUCGGGUUUUGUA